Grammomys surdaster is the source of this 1933-nucleotide non-coding RNA. The record is from the annotation of a RefSeq genome assembly. NCBI's taxonomy places the organism in Eukaryota, Metazoa, Chordata, Mammalia, Rodentia, Muridae.
GUCAGUGUUCUGUGAGAGAUAAAAGGCCACCUGAGUUCUCCCAAGCUUCAGACUAGCAGAAAUGGGCAAGAUUCUGACAGCAUCGUUUUUGCUCCUAGGCCUUCACCUAGCUGGGGUGAGUGGCCAGCAGAAGGGGCGACGUGACCAGCAGCAGGUGAGACAAAGUCCCCAAGCUCUGACAGUGUGGGAAGGAAAGACCACAGUUAUGGACUGCAAUUAUGAGAACAGUUUAUUUGACUACUUCCUAUGGUACCGGCAGUUCCCUGGUGAAAGCCUUGCACUCCUGAUAGCCAUACGAUCAGUGUCCAACAAAAAGGAAGAUGGACGAUUCACAGUCUUCUUCAAUAAAAGUGAGAAACAGCUCUCCUUACACAUCUCAGACUCUCAGCCUGAAGACUCUGCCACCUACUUCUGCGCAGCAAGUACACAGUGCUCUCCAGGCACCUGCAGCCUAUACCCAAACCUGCAGCUGAGGCUCCAGCAAAGCCCUGCUGUAGACUGAGCCUGGCAGAGAUGCAAAGGAAGUUUCAUUUGUAGGAACAGUGGAUGUAAAGAUUAGACUCAUUCAGGCUGGAGACAGCCCAAGCUCAAGUCACAGCUUGCUUUUCUUCAUUGUCCCCUUGUUCCUCAGAAACAGCUGAAGUUUUGCAUGUAUUUAACUAGUUUAGAUGAAUUGCUCUUCUGAAUGGUUGUACAACUAGUUCUCUGUGUGGUUGGUUUGUGCCAGCUAUAAAUUAUAAAGGCUCCACCUGUCUACUCUAUUGUCAUGACGCUAACGUGUGGAUGUUACAACCCAGGGUCAGGAGAUCUUGACUUUGACUUCUGGGACAGAAAUCACAUAGGGUUUUCUUUUACCUUAAUUUCCUCUGUUGACCAGGGAAGUGGUGAUUUAAAUGACCAUUGACCUCUUCUACUUCCUCAUGUUUUACCUCUCAUAUCCACAUCUACCUCCAAGAAAUUCAAGUUUGUAAACCAGGAGGACUUAUCAAUAAUGUAGGUGUCUACAAUACAAAUGAAGUCAGUGGGAAAAGAAGAAUCCAAUUUACUCAAAUAGUAAAUUGCAUAACCUUCACUAAAGAAGUGACUUCAUAUCUGUAUAUUACAGAUGAACAAAAUAUAAUUUUGAAUAUAAUUUUUUUCUAAUAGAAUCAGCUGCAGUCUUUAUGGCUAUUCACCCAAUGGCAAAAGGUCCUCUUGUUUUCCUCUUCCUGAGUGGGCUUUAAGUCCAACCAGAGAUGUGUUGGUUAUCAUCAAGGUAUGAGUGGCACUAUCAUACCUUUGUAAGUACCAUGCAGGGCUGUUCAUUGUUGUGGUUCAUAAACAUUACAUAAAGAUAAACUAUUGAUUACUCUUCCCCUUUGGCAACUUGCAUAGUGCCUUCUGAUAUCAUUAAAGUUAGUGGUCAGUGAUGAGGCUUUCAGGUCAGAUACAGUUUAAAUAUUCCAUGUCCUGUGUCUACUGUGCAUGAUAUCUCAGCAGGGACUUAACUUUAGUCUCUGGGAUCAAAGGCCAACAGCAAUAGCCAGCACUUUUCCAAGAUCCAUUUGAUUCCCAUGAUCAACAUAUCAAAAGAGGUUUCUUAUGCCUGGUACUUGGUUUCUUGUUGGAUGAGGUAGGUAUGGCUAGGCCACAUGGAAUAACUUCAUUAAAAAUAUAUGUGUAAUGUAAUUCUAGGUAAACACAACAAUAAUAAAUAUCUAUAAGUGUUUUUCAAAUGUCCUCAGUGGUAUUUAUCUGCCAGGAGCCAUCUAGGAAAUGGUAAAACAUACGAAUGACUUUCUGGAGAUAGCAUAGCAUAUUACAUGGCUGUGAUGGAUAAUUCUGAAUUUCAAAGCUUUCAGAAAUCUCACCUCAGGAUCGAUUCUUAUGAUAUGCCUUUUCUGUCAUUAUUAGAUCAGUAUAACAAAUCCUGAGCAUUAGCCCACCUUAUUGG